RNAcentral lists this ribosomal RNA (274 nucleotides) under uncultured bacterium. Its description in RNAcentral is "partial 16S ribosomal RNA". It matches the Rfam family "Bacterial small subunit ribosomal RNA", at positions 85 to 354 of the family's 1533-position model. The record is from RNAcentral.
CUGCCGGCGACCGGCGCACGGGUGAGUAACACGUAUGCAACCUGCCCUCCGCAGGGGGAUAACCCGGAGAAAUCCGGACUAAUACCGCGUGGUACAUCUGUGGGGCAUCCCACGGGUGUUAAAAGGAAGCGAUUCCGGCGGAGGAUGGGCGUGCGGCGCAUUAGCUAGUUGGCGGGGUAACGGCCCACCAAGGCGACGAUGUCUAGGGGUUCUGAGAGGAAGGUCCCCCACACUGGUACUGAGACACGGACCAGACUCCUACGGGAGGCAGCAG